Pygocentrus nattereri (red-bellied piranha) is the source of this 373-nucleotide long non-coding RNA. RefSeq lists it as uncharacterized. NCBI's taxonomy places the organism in Eukaryota, Metazoa, Chordata, Actinopteri, Characiformes, Serrasalmidae. The record is from RefSeq and is a predicted model, not a curated record. The transcript is spliced from 3 exons.
GCCGGCGCCGCUUCCUGCAGCAGCCGCCGCCGACGACAGCACCGUCCUCGCCGCCAGGGGGAGCUGCUGGGGCUGUAACUGCUGCUGCGGCUGAGGCUUGAGCUGGAACGGGACGGUGGCUUUCAUGGGCAGCAGGCGAAGAUUCUAAGACCAGUGUAUGCAGAUGAGCACCUUUAUCAGCAAGGGGUGGACCUUAAAGUAGCUUGAUUGACUGGACACUUCUGGACAUCCCGUGUAUACGGCAAGAGCCAACCUUUGUUCAAACUGCUCUUACACAUGAAGGACUGAGCUGCAUGAAGAUGAGGGAAAACCCAAUGACAGCGCAACCCUUAAACUGCCAAUAAACUUAAAAGGGUCAUUAUGGAGAAAAAUA